CAACAGGGAUUGCCCUAGUAACGGCGAGUGAAGCGGCAACAGCUCAAAUUUGAAAUCUGGCUUUCGGGCCCGAGUUGUAAUUUGUAGAGGAUACUUUUGAUGCGGUGCCUUCCGAGUUCCCUGGAACGGGACGCCAUAGAGGGUGAGAGCCCCGUCUGGUUGGAUGCCAAAUCUCUGUAAAGUUCCUUCGACGAGUCGAGUAGUUUGGGAAUGCUGCUCUAAAUGGGAGGUAUAUGUCUUCUAAAGCUAAAUAUUGGCCAGAGACCGAUAGCGCACAAGUAGAGUGAUCGAAAGAUGAAAAGCACUUUGAAAAGAGAGUUAAAAAGUACGUGAAAUUGUUGAAAGGGAAGCGUUUAUGACCAGACUUGGACUUGGUUAAUCAUCUGGGGUUCUCCCCAGUGCACUUUUCCAGUUCAGGCCAGCAUCAGUUUUCGCCGGGGGAUAAAGGCAGCGGGAAUGUGGCUCUCUUCGGGGAGUGUUAUAGCCCGUUGUGUAAUACCCUGGUGGGGACUGAGGUUCGCGCUUCUGCAAGGAUGCUGGCGUAAUGGUCAUCAACGACCCGUCUUGAAACACGGACCAAGGAGUCGUCUUCGUAUGCGAGUGUUCGGGUGUCAAACCCCUACGCGUAAUGAAAGUGAACGCAGGUGAGAGCUUCGGCGCAUCAUCGACCGAUCCUGAUGUUCUCGGAUGGAUUUGAGUAAGAGCAUACGGGGCCGGACCCGAAAGAAGGUGAACUAUGCCUGUAUAGGGUGAAGCCAGAGGAAACUCUGGUGGAGGCUCGCAGCGGUUCUGACGUGCAAAUCGAUCGUCAAAUAUGGGCAUGGGGGCGAAAGACU
Molecule: ribosomal RNA, 836 nt
Filed under: Fusarium flocciferum
Lineage: Eukaryota; Fungi; Ascomycota; Sordariomycetes; Hypocreales; Nectriaceae
Description: partial large subunit ribosomal RNA
Rfam family: Eukaryotic large subunit ribosomal RNA
Source: RNAcentral